UGUGGUUUGAAAAUCAUGGUGAGACAAAGUGACUCCAUUUAGGAUGUGACAUAAUUUUCCUCUUACUCUUCUCCAUGAUCCUGGUUCCCUGAACUGGCUGAGUCCCAGGGGUCUAAGUGUUUGUUGCUGGGAUGGCUUGCCCCCAUUGGCA
Long non-coding RNA from Perognathus longimembris pacificus (Pacific pocket mouse), 151 nucleotides. RefSeq lists it as uncharacterized. The transcript is spliced from 3 exons. The record is from RefSeq and is a predicted model, not a curated record. NCBI's taxonomy places the organism in Eukaryota, Metazoa, Chordata, Mammalia, Rodentia, Heteromyidae.